Borealophlyctis nickersoniae is the source of this 101-nucleotide non-coding RNA. The record is from the annotation of a GenBank genome assembly. NCBI's taxonomy places the organism in Eukaryota, Fungi, Chytridiomycota, Chytridiomycetes, Rhizophlyctidales, Borealophlyctidaceae.
GACACGAUGGCCGAGUGGUUAAGGCGAUUGACUCGAAUUUGGUAUUCAAAUAAGACAUCAAUUGGGAUCUUCCCGCGCAGGUUCGAAUCCUGCUCGUGUCG